UACGUAGGGUGCGAGCGUUGUCCGGAAUUAUUGGGCGUAAAGAGCUCGUAGGCGGUCUGUCGCGUCGGUCGUGAAAACUUGGGGCUUAACCCUGAGCUUGCGGUCGAUACGGGCAUGACUGGAGUUCGGCAGGGGAGACUGGAAUUCCUGGUGUAGCGGUGAAAUGCGCAGAUAUCAGGAGGAACACCGAUGGCGAAGGCAAUCCCCUGGGCCUGCACUGACGCUCAUGCACGAAAGCGUGGGGAGCAAACAGG
Molecule: ribosomal RNA, 254 nt
Filed under: uncultured bacterium
Lineage: Bacteria
Description: partial 16S ribosomal RNA
Rfam family: Bacterial small subunit ribosomal RNA
Source: RNAcentral